This 256-nucleotide ribosomal RNA is filed under the name uncultured bacterium. Its description in RNAcentral is "partial 16S ribosomal RNA". It matches the Rfam family "Bacterial small subunit ribosomal RNA", at positions 355 to 612 of the family's 1533-position model. The record is from RNAcentral.
UGGGGAAUCUUGCGCAAUGGGCGAAAGCCUGACGCAGCGACGCCGCGUGCGGGAGGACGGCCUUCGGGUCGUAAACCGCUGUUGCCCGGGACGAAUGCCCUUCGAUGGGAGGUGAUCGGUACCGGGUGAGGAAGCACCGGCUAACUCCGUGCCAGCAGCCGCGGUAAUACGGAGGGUGCGAGCGUUGUCCGGAAUCACUGGGCGUAAAGGGCGCGUAGGCGGCGCGGGAAGGCGGCGGUGAAAGUCCGGGGCUCAA